RNAcentral lists this ribosomal RNA (600 nucleotides) under uncultured freshwater bacterium. Its description in RNAcentral is "bacterial SSU rRNA". It matches the Rfam family "Bacterial small subunit ribosomal RNA", at positions 8 to 605 of the family's 1533-position model. The record is from RNAcentral.
AGAGUUUGAUCCUGGCUCAGGAUGAACGCUAGCGGCAGGCCUAAUACACGCAAGUCGAGGGAUACUAUUGGAUUCGUCUGAUGGGAAACCGGCGCACGGGUGCGUAGCACGUAUGCAACCUACCUAUAACUGGGGUAUAGCUCAGAGAAAUCUGAAUUAAUCCCCCAUAAGAUUAUGUUCUGGCAUCAGGAAGUAAUUAAAGCUGAGGCGGUUAUAGAUGGGCAUGCGUUGCAUUAGCUAGUUGGUGAGGUAAUGGCUCACCAAGGCUACGAUGCAUAGGGGGUCUGAGAGGAUGAUCCCCCACACUGGUACUGAGACACGGACCAGACUCCUACGGGAGGCAGCAGUAGGGAAUAUUGGUCAAUGGACGCAAGUCUGAACCAGCCAUGCCGCGUGCAGGAAGACGGCCCUAUGGGUUGUAAACUGCUUUUAUAUGGGAAGAAACCCCCUGAUGCGUUAGGGGCUGACGGUACCAUAUGAAUAAGGAUCGGCUAACUUCGUGCCAGCAGCCGCGGUAAGACGAAGGAUCCAAGCGUUGUCCGGAUUUACUGGGUUUAAAGGGUGCGUAGGCGGGAAAUUAAGUCAGUGGUGAAAGCCCUC